Molecule: ribosomal RNA, 254 nt
Filed under: uncultured bacterium
Lineage: Bacteria
Description: partial 16S ribosomal RNA
Rfam family: Bacterial small subunit ribosomal RNA
Source: RNAcentral
UUACUGGGCGUAAAGACGCAUGCAGGCGGCCUGUUAAGUACAGAUGUGAAAGACCCGGGGCGUUAACCUCGGAAAUUGCAUUUGUAAACUAGGCAGGCUAGAGUCUUGUAGAGGGGGGUAGGAAGUUUCAGGUGUAGCGGUGAAAUAGCGUAGAGAUCUGAAGGAAUACCAGUGGCGAAGGCGGCCCCCUCGGACAAAGACUGACGCUCAGAUGCGAAAGCGUGGGGAGCAAACAGGAUUAGAUACCCUGGUAG